CAUGUCCUUUUGAAAAUAAUUUAAGGUCUAAUCUGCUCAAUGAGGAGUUAAAUUGCCGCAGUAAUUUGACUGUGCGAAGGUAGCAUAAUAAUUAGUUUUUUAAUUGAAAGCUUGUAUGAAUGAUUGGACGAGAAAAUUACUGUCUCUUUUUAAUUAAGAUUGAAAUUAAUUUUUGAGUUAAAAAGCUUAAAUUUAGUUUAAAGACGAGAAGACCCUAUAGAGUUUUAUAUCAAUAAAUAAUAAAAUUAGUUAGAAUCUUUUUGUUUAUUAUUUUUGGAUAUUUAGUUGGGGUGACUUGGAGAUUUAAUAAACUCUCUAAAAUUUUAAAAUCAUUGAUUUAUGAAUUUUAAAUCUAGAAAAGUCUAAAUUUAAAAUAAAUUACCUUAGGGAUAACAGCGUAAUUUUCCUUUAGAGUUCUUAUUGGUUGGGAAGUUUGCGACCUCGAUGUUGGAUUAAAAUUAAUUAUUGGUGCAGAAGCUAAUAAGUUUGGUCUGUUCGACCAUUGAAAUUUUACAUGAUCUGAGU
Molecule: ribosomal RNA, 525 nt
Filed under: Lissominae sp. UPOL RK0334
Lineage: Eukaryota; Metazoa; Arthropoda; Insecta; Coleoptera; Elateridae
Description: partial 16S ribosomal RNA
Rfam family: Bacterial large subunit ribosomal RNA
Source: RNAcentral